This is a long non-coding RNA of Clupea harengus (Atlantic herring), 348 nucleotides long. The record is from Ensembl. Lineage: Eukaryota; Metazoa; Chordata; Actinopteri; Clupeiformes; Clupeidae.
GGGGAUUCUGCCGGUGGUGAUUUUACGUGAAGCGGUGCACUCCGUCCAACAGUAUGACAAAGAAGUUUAUGGGUAGUCUAACCUAUGGUGGUGACUGUCAAUGCCCCUUGCCAGUGUGACCACUGUGUAUUCACACACUUUGCCCAUGAUGGGUGAGGGGUGAAGCAUUCCACCACUAAAGAUUCCCACCACACCGCUGGGUAUAUGGAAAUACAUAUAACUACCAAUGUACACUGGCUCCCUAUAUCACAACGGAUUCACUUUGAAAUCGUGUUAAUGACACUUAAAGCUCUUCACAAACUUUCCGCUGCCUACCUCGCAUACCUCCUUCAAAACCUGGAAAGUUAA